CACGUUUACUUAAGUGCAGCUAAACAACAACUGUAAAAUACAACAUACUGCAGCUGGAAAGGGAUUGUCUGAGACUUUGGUGUAGUCUUCCAGCCUGCCUCUGUGGUCAAGACUCUGCAUCAUAUUGUUUGCUUUUAUUCCUUCCAUUAUUGUAAACUGUUGGCUUUCUGCUUUCGGG
Molecule: non-coding RNA, 178 nt
Organism: Lonchura striata (white-rumped munia)
Lineage: Eukaryota; Metazoa; Chordata; Aves; Passeriformes; Estrildidae
Source: RefSeq, a predicted model, not a curated record